This 254-nucleotide ribosomal RNA is filed under the name uncultured bacterium. RNAcentral describes it as "partial 16S ribosomal RNA". It matches the Rfam family "Bacterial small subunit ribosomal RNA", at positions 524 to 776 of the family's 1533-position model. The record is from RNAcentral.
UACGGGGGGAGCAAGCGUUGUUCGGAUUUACUGGGCGUAAAGGGCGCGUAGGCGGUCGUGACAAGUCACUUGUGAAAUCUCCGGGCUUAACUCGGAACGGUCAAGUGAUACUGUCGGACUAGAGUACAGAAGGGGCAACUGGAAUUCUCGGUGUAGCGGUGAAAUGCGUAGAUAUCAAGAGGAACACCAAUAGCGAAGGCAGCUCGCUGGGACGGUACUGACGCUAAGGCGCGAAAGCGUGGGGACCGAACAGG